ACCUACCGCAGGCAUCUGUGGUGGUUGAAAGCUCCGGCGGUGAAGGAUGAGCCCGCGGCCUAUCAGCUUGUUGGUGAGGUAAUGGCUCACCAAGGCGACGACGGGUAGCCGGCCUGAGAGGGCGACCGGCCACACUGGGACUGAGACACGGCCCAGACUCCUACGGGAGGCAGCAGUGGGGAAUAUUGCACAAUGGGCGAAAGCCUGAUGCAGCGACGCCGCGUGAGGGAUGACGGCCUUCGGGUUGUAAACCUCUUUCAGCAGGGAAGAAGCGAAAGUGACGGUACCUGCAGAAGAAGCGCCGGCUAACUACGUGCCAGCAGCCGCGGUAAUACGUAGGGCGCAAGCGUUGUCCGGAAUUAUUGGGCGUAACGAGCUCGUAUGCGGCUUGUCACGUCGGGUGUGAAAGCGCGGGGUCUUAACCCCGGGUUCUGCAU
This 437-nucleotide ribosomal RNA is filed under the name Streptomyces sp. RNAcentral's name for it is "bacterial SSU rRNA". It matches the Rfam family "Bacterial small subunit ribosomal RNA", at positions 173 to 626 of the family's 1533-position model. The record is from RNAcentral. Lineage: Bacteria; Bacillati; Actinomycetota; Actinomycetes; Kitasatosporales; Streptomycetaceae.